Molecule: long non-coding RNA, 1460 nt
Organism: Brassica napus (rape)
Lineage: Eukaryota; Viridiplantae; Streptophyta; Magnoliopsida; Brassicales; Brassicaceae
Exons: 4
Source: RefSeq, a predicted model, not a curated record
AAUACUGGCCCAAUAACAGAGAUCUUACUGUGUUGCAGCAACGAUGAACCAGCUCUGUCGUCUCAGCUCCUCCUUCGUUCAGCAACGAUGAACCAGCUUGCAUUCAAGUAGCCCUACUCUGUGGUCUUCAAUUCUACGACGGCGAAUCUGAGAGGAUUUGUUGACUACGACGUCGACUUCGGAGGCGGAGGAUUGUCUGGAUAUGGAAGGAAAGUGGGGAAAAAGAUCCAAUUUUUAUUCUUCCUUUACUCAACACCAAUUUUCUUGGUGUUAGAAGAAGACGUCUACCCUGCUUUGCUGUUUAGAAUCAUUCUGGAUCUGUAACUCUCCAUCGUCUCCUCUCAGAUUUCAAAGGAUUUAAGAUCACAUGAGAGCCUGAGUUGUGAUUGCACCAAGUUUGCAGCUUUAGAUGAUCGUUGUCUCCGUUCUUUAAUCCUGGGAGAUUGUGUCGUCCGAGCUUUCAUCAAUAUUUUUGGAAGCUUUGCUAUUUAUUUCGAUACAAACCUUCUCAACUUGGGACAUAAUAAGAGAGAGAGAGAGGUUAGCUUUACAGGAUAUGGUAAGGAAAAACGCCAUUGAAGCCGCUUACAGUUUCAGAUGUGGGAAAAUGCCAAGAAAAAAGAAAAAUAUAAAGGUUGAAGACAAGCAUAAAACCGACAGUAUAUGUGACAUAAUUUCAUAGCAACGUCGCAUUCUAACACCCAUUGUUGGCAAUUGAGUGACAUAGAGAGAAUAUACUUUAAGGUGAACAUCAUACCUGAGCUAAGGCUCAUAUAUCGAAUGAAACAUAACUUUCUUAUCUUUUUUUUUUAAUUUCAUGGUGGAUGAGUAUGAAGUCAGCUGUUAAGUUUGAUUUUAUACUUGCAACUUUUAAGAUUUCCCAGAACUGUUUAUUGUUGUUCUUAGAACUACUUGCAUUGUAUGAAGGGUACUUGACUCAUGUUCAGGGGAGAGUCACCCAUCUAUUUAUAUUCAGGUCCCCAAUCGAGGACAUCUUGAUCAGCCAAGUCAUGUGAGAUCACGGACCUAUAUCAGAGGUUUCUUCUAACUUUUAACGCCUCAGCUUCUGGAUCUUUCUUAGUCUCUCUUGUCCUUCUUCUUCUCAUGCCAUCAACUGCGCUAUCUUUUAUGCUGAUUUAGUUUUCCAUUUCUGGUAACCAUGUAACAUUGUAUUUUUUGAGAUUAUGAUUUGGCUUUCCAGAUGAAGAAGAUUUCCUUCUGGUGUUUAGUCUGAGAGUUCACACUACGGAAAGAAUAUCCUCAACUCCUUGAAUGAUACUUUGAAGAUAGAAGCAAUACAACAUCUAAUAGUCUAUUUGAAGAUCAUAAUACUCUAAAGAGAAUACUAUUUCUAAUGGUUCCAAUCUUCGCAGCGUUGUUUAAUAGUUUUUGUGAAAUUCUUCGCUAUUUUAAUGUCAAGUAGAAUAUUCUCUCGAUUCUAUGCUAUACUUAUGUUUAUA